AAGGGUUGAUGCCAUCUGUCACUCCCGGCUGUUUACUCUUCUAACAGCACAAACUCACUGGGAAGCUUGACUAUGGGCUACAGCAAAAAGCGGAAACUGAUUUUUCAGCCAAGGCAUGACAGCGACAUUGUGGACUCAAGGGCCAACUUGAUAAAAUUUCCAAGGCAGUUGACACACACUAGUAUACACACCGAGCGCAAACUGUGCAGGUUUGAUGUUGUUCUCGGAGUACUGCAGCUAAAUACAAGUUAGUGCAUUUUUUAGUUGUGG
This 270-nucleotide long non-coding RNA is filed under the name Daucus carota (carrot). Its description in RNAcentral is "long non-coding RNA (DCAR_LNC006564)". Lineage: Eukaryota; Viridiplantae; Streptophyta; Magnoliopsida; Apiales; Apiaceae. The record is from RNAcentral.